This 1167-nucleotide long non-coding RNA is filed under the name Setaria viridis. Its description in RNAcentral is "long non-coding RNA (SVIR_LNC002955)". Lineage: Eukaryota; Viridiplantae; Streptophyta; Magnoliopsida; Poales; Poaceae. The record is from RNAcentral.
UGCUGAGGCCAUCGGCGUGUGCUACGGCAUGAGCGCCAACAACCUGCCGCCGGCGAGCACGGUGAUCGACAUGUACAAGGCGAACGGCAUCUCGGCGAUGCGUCUGUACGCCCCCGACCAGGGCGCACUCCAGGCCGUGGGCGGCACGGGCAUCAGCGUGACCGUCGGCGCCCCCAACGACGUGCUCUCCAACAUCGCCGCCAGCCCCGCCGCCGCCGCGUCCUGGGUCCGCAACAACAUCCAGGCGUACCCGUCCGUGUCCUUCCGCUACAUCUGCGUCGGCAACGAGGUCGCCGGCGGCGCGGCUCAGAACCUGGCGCCGGCGAUGGAGAACGUCCACGCCGCGCUGGCCGCUGCCGGGCUCGGCCACAUCAAGGUGACGACGUCGGUGUCGCAGGCCAUCCUGGGCGUGUACAGCCCGCCCUCCGCCGCCGAGUUCACCGGCGAGGCCAAGGGGUACAUGGGCCCCGUGCUGUCGUUCCUGGCCCGGACCGGGUCGCCGCUGAUGGCCAACAUCUACCCGUACCUUGCGUGGGCCUACAACCCGAGCGCCAUGGACAUGAGCUACGCGCUCUUCACCUCCAAGGGCACGGUGGUGCAGGACGGCGCCUACGGGUACCAGAACCUGUUCGACACGACGGUGGACGCCUUCUACUUCGCCAUGGGCCGGCACGGCGGCUCCGGCGUGCCGCUGGUGGUGUCGGAGAGCGGGUGGCCGUCCGGCGGCGGUGAGCAGGCGAACGCGGCCAACGCCAGGAUCUACAACCAGUAUCUGAUCAACCACGUCGGGCGCGGCACGCCGAGGCACCCCGGCGGCAUCGAGACCUACCUCUUCUCCAUGUUCAACGAGAACCAGAAGGACAGCGGCGUGGAGCAGAACUGGGGACUCUUCUACCCCAACAUGCAGCACGUCUACCCCAUCAGCUUCUGAUCACCGGAGCUCUCGUCUAUGAUUAAGUACGUAUACGGGGUACGUAUAAGUGUACGUACAUGUAGAUUAUGUAUUGUACUGGGGGCUUGCUUUGCGACCGCUGGGAGUGCCAAAUGGUGCUCCCAGAUGCGUACGCCGUGAGUGAGUAUGUCGGUCUAUGUAUUCGUCGAAGGGAGAUGUACGUACCGUAGAUAAAUACGGUGCAUCGUCGAUUGAUCUCCCUUCCUAGCUAGUAC